Molecule: ribosomal RNA, 254 nt
Filed under: uncultured bacterium
Lineage: Bacteria
Description: partial 16S ribosomal RNA
Rfam family: Bacterial small subunit ribosomal RNA
Source: RNAcentral
UACGUAGGGCGCAAGCGUUAUCCGGAAUUAUUGGGCGUAAAGAGCUCGUAGGCGGUGUGUCGCGUCGGCCGUGAAAACCUGUAGCUUAACUGUGGGCUUGCGGUCGAUACGGGCAUCACUGGAGUUCGGCAGGGGAGACUGGAAUUCCUGGUGUAGCGGUGAAAUGCGCAGAUAUCAGGAGGAACACCGGUGGCGAAGGCGGGUCUCUGGGCCGAUACUGACGCUGAGGAGCGAAAGCGUGGGGAGCGAACAGG